Molecule: long non-coding RNA, 815 nt
Organism: Centrocercus urophasianus (Greater sage-grouse)
Lineage: Eukaryota; Metazoa; Chordata; Aves; Galliformes; Phasianidae
Exons: 2
Source: RefSeq, a predicted model, not a curated record
CGCCUCCCAGAGGAGUUGGCUUCUUUUUGUCUUAAAGUUAAUGCACCAAAUCACCCAGGAAAGCAUCCAGCACUGUCAGGAGGAUGGACCUGCAGUGUUGGUGUGACAGCAGCAGUCCCCAUGGGAGCACUGACUCAGAGAUGAAGAGAAAUGGCUUUGCUUGCAAAAAAGCUGAGCUCUGCCUGGAUCCCAGCUGGAAAUGCCUCUGGGUGCCACGUCUGGGAAGAACGUGGCUAAUUCAGACUCUCUUGGGAAUGUCCUGGCCUCCUGUUGCUGAUUCUGAGAGUGCAGGAGGUCUCAGCGUGUGUCUGGAGGAGCAGCCAUAGAAGUGAGAUAACAUCUCUGCAGGUGAAAAAACUGCAAAAGUGGCACAAAUAGGAGCUCUGCUGCCUGACAUCCCCCAUCUGUCCAAGCAGCCCAGAGCUGCUCCUGGUGUGAGCAGCACUUCCAUCACUCCCCCAGGAGCCAGACCCCUGAUGCAUUCAUGUCAGCCUAAAGCCCCUCUGAGCCAUUUCAUCCCAUUAUUAUCAUUUUUUUUCUUGUAUUUCUGCCUGCACCCACACCAGUGACAUGGAACCAUCACGCUGUUAUCUGUUAGCAGCAUUUACAAGCCCAGCUGCAUCUGCAGCUUUCUGCCUACAGAAGAUACACAAGGCUUUUCCUCUUAGGUUGAAAAUUAUCAGCUUAAACAGAACCUGCUUUUACUCCAUCAGAGGGAAGGAUGUGAACCCACAGCCACAAAGCAGUGACCAUCCCCCAGCCCAGCAGAGAAAGCUGAGCAAUAAAACAAAUUACCUAAAGCCACCUUAAUGACA